RNAcentral lists this ribosomal RNA (500 nucleotides) under uncultured bacterium. RNAcentral's name for it is "partial 16S ribosomal RNA". It matches the Rfam family "Bacterial small subunit ribosomal RNA", at positions 30 to 523 of the family's 1533-position model. The record is from RNAcentral.
AUUGAACGCUGGCGGAAUGCUUUACACAUGCAAGUCGAACGGCAGCACGGACUUCGGUCUGGUGGCGAGUGGCGAACGGGUGAGUAAUGUAUAGGAACGUGCCCAGUCGUGGGGGAUAACGUAUUGGAAAUUACGCUAAUACCGCAUACGAUCUAUGGGUGAAAGCGGGGGAUCGCAAGACCUCGCGCGAUUGGAGCGGCCGAUAUCAGAUUAGGUAGAUGGUGGGGUAAAGGCCGACCAAGCCAACGAUCUGUAGCUGGUCGGAGAGGAAGACCAGCCGCACUGGAACGGAGACACGUUCCAGAGUCCUACGGGAGGGAGCAGUGGGGAAUUUUGGACAAUGGGCGAAAGCCUGAGCCAGCCAUUCCGCGUUCAGGAUGAAGGCGCUCGGGUUGUAAACUGCUUUUGUACAGAACGAAAAGGUUUCUACUAAUACUAGGAGCUCAUGACGGUACUGUAAGAAUAAGCACCGGCUAACUACGUGCCAGCAGCCGCGGUAA